CAGCUUCUGGAUCAUUACUGACACUGAGGAACGAAAGCAUGGGUAGCGAAGAGGAUUAGAUACCCUCGUAGUCCAUGCCGUAAACGAUGUGUGUUAGACGUUGGAAAUUUAUUUUCAGUGUCGCAGGGAAACCGAUAAACACACCGCCUGGGGAGUACGACCGCAAGGUUAAAACUCAAAUGAAUUGACGGGGACCCGCACAAGUAGUGGAGCAUGUGGUUUAAUUCGAAGAUACGCGCAGAACCUUACCAACACUUGACAUGUUCGUCGCGACUCUAAGAGAUUAGAGUUUUCGGUUCGGCCGGACGAAACACAGGUGCUGCAUGGCUGUCGUCAGCUCGUGUCGUGAGAUAUUGGGUUAAGUCCCGCAACGAGCGCAACCCUCACUUUUGGUUGCCAUCAUUAAGUUGGGCACUCUGAAAGAACUGCCAGUGAUAAGCUGGAGGAAGGUGGGGAUGACGUCAGGUCCUCAUGGCCCUUACGUGUUGGGCUACACACGUGCUACAAUGGUAUCUACAACAGGAAGCAAGACUGCGAAGUUAAGCAAAUCCCUAAAAGAUACCUCAGUUCGGAUUGCACUCUGCAACUCGAGUGCAUGAAGCUGGAAUUACUAGUAAUCGUGGAUCAGCGUGCCACGGUGAAUGCGUUCCCGGGUCUUGUACACACCGCCCGUCACACCAUGGGAGUUGGUUCUACCUUAAGGCAAGGUUUCAAACCCUUGACCACGGUAUAGUCGGCGACUGGGGUGAAGUCGUAACAAGGUAACCGUA
Molecule: ribosomal RNA, 770 nt
Filed under: uncultured bacterium
Lineage: Bacteria
Description: bacterial SSU rRNA
Rfam family: Bacterial small subunit ribosomal RNA
Source: RNAcentral